GACGAACGCUGGCGGCGUGCUUAACACAUGCAAGUCGAACGGAAAGGCCCUGCUUUUGUGGGGUGCUCGAGUGGCGAACGGGUGAGUAACACGUGAGUAACCUGCCCUUGACUUUGGGAUAACUUCAGGAAACUGGGGCUAAUACCGGAUAGGAGCUCCUGCUGCAUGGUGGGGGUUGGAAUGUUUCGGCGGUUGGGGAUGGACUCGCGGCUUAUCAGCUUGUUGGUGGGGUAGUGGCUUACCAAGGCUUUGACGGGUAGCCGGCCUGAGAGGGUGACCGGCCACAUUGGGACUGAGAUACGGCCCAGACUCCUACGGGAGGCAGCAGUGGGGAAUAUUGCACAAUGGGCGGAAGCCUGAUGCAGCAACGCCGCGUGCGGGAUGACGGCCUUCGGGUGGUAAACCGCUUUCGCCUGUGACGAAGCGUGAGUGACGGUAAUGGGUAAAGAAGCACCGGCUAACUACGU
This 467-nucleotide ribosomal RNA is filed under the name uncultured bacterium. RNAcentral describes it as "partial 16S ribosomal RNA". It matches the Rfam family "Bacterial small subunit ribosomal RNA", at positions 28 to 506 of the family's 1533-position model. The record is from RNAcentral.